GAUGAACGCUAGCUACAGGCUUAACACAUGCAAGUCGAGGGGCAUCAGGAAGAAAGCUUGCUUUCUUUGCUGGCGACCGGCGCACGGGUGAGUAACACGUAUCCAACCUGCCCUUUACUCGGGGAUAGCCUUUCGAAAGAAAGAUUAAUACCCGAUAGCAUAAUGAUUCCGCAUGGUUUCAUUAUUAAAGGAUUCCGGUAAAGGAUGGGGAUGCGUUCCAUUAGGUUGUUGGUGAGGUAACGGCCCACCAAGCCUUCGAUGGAUAGGGGUUCUGAGAGGAAGGUCCCCCACAUUGGAACUGAGACACGGUCCAAACUCCUACGGGAGGCAGCAGUGAGGAACAUUGGUCAAUGGGCGCUAGCCUGAACCAGCCAAGUAGCGUGAAGGAUGAAGGCUCUAUGGGUCGUAAACUUCUUUUAUAUAAGAAUAAAGUGCAGUAUGUA
RNAcentral lists this ribosomal RNA (443 nucleotides) under uncultured Bacteroides sp. RNAcentral describes it as "bacterial SSU rRNA". It matches the Rfam family "Bacterial small subunit ribosomal RNA", at positions 28 to 462 of the family's 1533-position model. Lineage: Bacteria; Pseudomonadati; Bacteroidota; Bacteroidia; Bacteroidales; Bacteroidaceae. The record is from RNAcentral.